This 563-nucleotide ribosomal RNA is filed under the name uncultured bacterium. Its description in RNAcentral is "bacterial SSU rRNA". It matches the Rfam family "Bacterial small subunit ribosomal RNA", at positions 153 to 692 of the family's 1533-position model. The record is from RNAcentral.
GAAACUGCAGGUAAUACUCGAUGAGACCACAGCAUCAUAUGGUGCAGUGAUCAAAGGUGGGGACUCCUUCGGGAGCCUACCGGCCAUUGAGCGGCCCAUGUCCCAUCAGCUUGUUGGUGAGGUAACGGCUCACCAAGGCAACGACGGGUACCGGGACUGAGAGGUUGAUCCGGCGCAUUGGGACUGAGACACUGCCCAGACUUCUACGGGAGGCUGCAGUAACGAAUAUUCCGCAAUGGACGAAAGUCUGACGGAGCGACGCCGCGUGUGGGAAUAAGCCCUUCGGGGUGUAAACCACUGUCAGGGAUUACCAAGCAAACGGGGUUAAUACCUCCGCGCGUUGAGGAGUCCCAGAGGAAGCCACGGCUAACUUCGUGCCAGCAGCCGCGGUAAGACGAAGGUGGCAAGCGUUGUUCGGAAUCAUUGGGCUUAAAGAGCAUGUAGGCGGCCCAGUAAGCGUCCUGUGAAAUCCCUCGGCCCAACCGAGGAAUUGCGGGGCGAACUGCUGGACUUGAGGCAAGUAGGGGUGUGUGGAAACCCUUGGUGGAGCGGUGGAAUGCGUA